This 692-nucleotide ribosomal RNA is filed under the name uncultured bacterium. Its description in RNAcentral is "bacterial SSU rRNA". The stretch from base 57 to 570 matches the Rfam family "Bacterial small subunit ribosomal RNA", at positions 37 to 537 of the family's 1533-position model. The record is from RNAcentral.
CUUUUCGACUCGCGAAUGCUCUCGAUUAUAUNUUGAUCCUGGCUCAGAGUGAACGCUGGCGGUAGGCCUAACACAUGCAAGUCGGACGGCAGCACAGGAGAGCUUGCUCUCUGGGUGGCGAGUGGCGGACGGGUGAGGAAUACAUCGGAAUCUACUCUGUCGUGGGGGAUAACGUAGGGAAACUUACGCUAAUACCGCAUACGACCUACGGGUGAAAGCAGGGGAUCUUCGGACCUUGCGCGAUUGAAUGAGCCGAUGUCGGAUUAGCUAGUUGGCGGGGUAAAGGCCCACCAAGGCGACGAUCCGUAGCUGGUCUUGAGAGGAUGAUCAGCCACACUGGAACUGAGACACGGUCCAGACUCCUACGGGAGGCAGCAGUGGGGAAUAUUGGACAAUGGGCGCAAGCCUGAUCCAGCCAUACCGCGUGGGUGAAGAAGGCCUUCGGGUUGUAAAGCCCUUUGUUUGGGAAACGAAAUCCAGCCGGCUAAUACCGUGGUUGGGAUGACGGUUACCCCAAAGAAUAAGCACCGGCUAACUUCGAGUUGCCUAGCCAGAACCCGCGGGGUUAAAUAACUGGAAAGGGGNCUGGCCNAANGGCCGUUUAACUGCCGGCGGAAGUAUAUCUGCGGGGCGGNAAAAAACAGGCNNGCGAUGUAUGAGAGGGGNGGCACACUAUGAAGGAGGUCACCGCC